Long non-coding RNA from Columba livia (rock pigeon), 834 nucleotides. RefSeq lists it as uncharacterized. The transcript is spliced from 4 exons. The record is from RefSeq and is a predicted model, not a curated record. Lineage: Eukaryota; Metazoa; Chordata; Aves; Columbiformes; Columbidae.
CGCAGCAGCUCCCCGCGCUCCUCCUGCUUUUGCAGAUCUGAAAGCACCCCGGAAACAGAGAGCGGUAAUUCCUCGGGAAGGGUUCGGGAUUUUUCCCUCUGGCCUUAACAACGGGGUCCAGCGCCUACAGGACGGGGUAAAUGCAAGACCUACAGAAAUCCUCCCUCAGACACCUCGUAGAUUCUGUCGGUGCUUGUCAAACCUCACAAAAUCUUUCUGCCCCCUGAGUGGCAAAGGAAGCCUGGAACAGCAACAUCGUGCUCUGUCUGCAACCAGAAAGAAAAGAGCCCAGAGAGACUGCAGCAGGAGCCCGAGACGCUGACAAGCUGGAGCGAAUGGCAGACGCCGGACACCCUGCGCGCCGAGGGCUGCGGAAUCCCUGACCGGGGACACGGAGCGACGAGGAAUCUGCCAGCCAGGGAGGGAAGCACAUCCAGCCAAGGCAGAGGGGCCCUUUGUCAGAACAGUCUCUGAACUACUGAGUUGUGUUGGUGUUCUGCUUGCCAAGCUUUUGAAUAUUCAAGCAAAUGUCGUAGCGAAAACUUGAAUGAGACUAUGAAUGGGACAAGUAUGGACAACAAGGAGCCCCUCUGCUGUAUAUUUACACACUACAGACUUCUGUCCAGUUGGAUUCUCUUUAGGAGAUAGAACCCUGUUCUAGUUUUCCAGGCAGGGUUGGUCACUGACCCUAUAAUUCUGUGUGGAGUUUGAGUCUCGUGGUUCACUCCUCCGCUCCAGCAAAGCUGGAAGUCCUGAGAGGCUUCUCUGUAACUCGCAGUCAAGCAUUUCUGGGUAUCCAGCUUCCCCUUUUACAUUAAACCUCCAUAAAAAACA